AACGAACGCUGGCGGCGUGCCUAACACAUGCAAGUCGAGCGCGAAUGGGAGCAAUCCCUAGUAGAGCGACGCACGGGUGCGUAACACGUGGGUAAUCUGCCUGGAAGACUGGAAUAACCUGCCGAAAGGCUGGCUAAUACCAGAUAAGCUCACGACCUCUUCGGGGGUUGAGAGAAAAGGUGGCCUCUGUAUACAAGCUAUCACUUCCAGAUGAGCCCGCGGCCCAUCAGCUAGUUGGCGGGUAAUGGCCCACCAAGGCUACGACGGGUAGCUGGUCUGAGAGGACGAUCAGCCACACUGGAACUGAGACACGGUCCAGACUCCUACGGGAGGCAGCAGUGGGGAAUUUUGCACAAUGGGCGAAAGCCUGAUGCAGCAACGCCGCGUGUGUGAUGAAGGUCUUCGGAUUGUAAAGCACUUUCGACCGGACGAACCCGUUGGCUAAUAUCCAG
This 452-nucleotide ribosomal RNA is filed under the name uncultured bacterium. RNAcentral describes it as "bacterial SSU rRNA". It matches the Rfam family "Bacterial small subunit ribosomal RNA", at positions 29 to 467 of the family's 1533-position model. The record is from RNAcentral.